CCUACGGGAGGCAGCAGUGAGGAAUAUUGGUCAAUGGGCGGGAGCCUGAACCAGCCAAGCCGCGUGAAGGAAGAAGGCGCCACGCGUCGUAAACUUCUUUUGUCGGGGAACAAAGGGCGCCACGUGUGGCGUUGUGAGUGUACCCGAAGAAAAAGCAUCGGCUCACUACGUGCCAGCAGCCGCGGUAAUACGUAGGGGGCAAGCGUUAUCCGGAUUUACUGGGUGUAAAGGGAGCGCAGACGGCUGUGCAAGUCUGGAGGGAAAGGCGGGGGCCCAACCCCCGGACUGCUCUGGAAACUGUAAAGCUGGAGUGCAGGAGAGGUAAGCGGAAUUCCUAGUGUAGCGGUGAAAUGCGUAGAUAUUAGGAGGAACACCAGUGGCGAAGGCGGCUUACUGGACUGCAACUGACGUUGAGGCUCGAAAGCGUGGGGAGCAAACAGGAUUAGAUACCCGUGUAGUC
Molecule: ribosomal RNA, 460 nt
Filed under: uncultured bacterium
Lineage: Bacteria
Description: partial 16S ribosomal RNA
Rfam family: Bacterial small subunit ribosomal RNA
Source: RNAcentral